UACGUAGGGCGCGAGCGUUGUCCGGAAUUAUUGGGCGUAAAGAGCUCGUAGGCGGCCUGUUGCGUCCGCUGUGAAAGCCCGGGGCUUAACCCCGGGUCGGCAGUGGAUACGGGCAGGCUAGAGGUAGGUAGGGGAGAAUGGAAUUCCCGGUGUAGCGGUGAAAUGCGCAGAUAUCGGGAGGAACACCGGUGGCGAAGGCGGUUCUCUGGGCCUGACCUGACGCUAAGGAGCGAAAGCGUGGGGAGCGAACAGG
RNAcentral lists this ribosomal RNA (253 nucleotides) under uncultured bacterium. Its description in RNAcentral is "partial 16S ribosomal RNA". It matches the Rfam family "Bacterial small subunit ribosomal RNA", at positions 524 to 776 of the family's 1533-position model. The record is from RNAcentral.